RNAcentral lists this unclassified non-coding RNA (310 nucleotides) under Paracidovorax wautersii. RNAcentral's name for it is "Acidovorax wautersii Long range pseudoknot". Lineage: Bacteria; Pseudomonadati; Pseudomonadota; Betaproteobacteria; Burkholderiales; Comamonadaceae. The record is from RNAcentral.
ACCGAUGACGGCGACUACAACAUCAAGAUGCGCAACAUCCGCCGCUUCCUGGCGGAGGGCGACAAGUGCAAGAUCACCCUGCGGUUCCGUGGUCGCGAGAUCACCCACCAGGAACUCGGUCUGGCCUUGCUCAAUCGCAUCCGCGAUGACCUGGGUGAUUCGAUCCUCGUCGAGCAGUUUCCCAAGCUCGAAGGCCGCCAGAUGAUCAUGAUGAUCGCGCCUGGCCGCAAGAAGCCUGCUUCCAAGCCCGCGGGCGAAGCGGCUGGCUCUGCGACUCCGGCGGUUUGAGUGAUGGGGUAGGGCGGGCCGA